Molecule: ribosomal RNA, 2923 nt
Filed under: Klebsiella pneumoniae
Lineage: Bacteria; Pseudomonadati; Pseudomonadota; Gammaproteobacteria; Enterobacterales; Enterobacteriaceae
Also listed under: 1 other name
Description: bacterial LSU rRNA
Rfam family: Bacterial large subunit ribosomal RNA
Source: RNAcentral
GGGUUGUGAGGUUAAGCGACUAAGCGUACACGGUGGAUGCCCUGGCAGUCAGAGGCGAUGAAGGACGUGCUAAUCUGCGAAAAGCGUCGGUAAGGUGAUAUGAACCGUUACAGCCGGCGAUGUCCGAAUGGGGAAACCCAGUGCAAUUCGUUGCACUAUCGUUAACUGAAUACAUAGGUUAACGAGGCGAACCGGGGGAACUGAAACAUCUAAGUACCCCGAGGAAAAGAAAUCAACCGAGAUUCCCCCAGUAGCGGCGAGCGAACGGGGAGCAGCCCAGAGUCUGAAUCAGCUUGUGUGUUAGUGGAACGGUCUGGAAAGUCCGACGGUACAGGGUGAUAGUCCCGUACACCAAAAUGCACAGGCUGUGAACUCGAAGAGUAGGGCGGGACACGUGGUAUCCUGUCUGAAUAUGGGGGGACCAUCCUCCAAGGCUAAAUACUCCUGACUGACCGAUAGUGAACCAGUACCGUGAGGGAAAGGCGAAAAGAACCCCGGCGAGGGGAGUGAAAAAGAACCUGAAACCGUGUACGUACAAGCAGUGGGAGCACCUUCGGGUGUGACUGCGUACCUUUUGUAUAAUGGGUCAGCGACUUAUAUUCUGUAGCAAGGUUAACCGUAUAGGGGAGCCGCAGGGAAACCGAGUCUUAACUGGGCGUUAAGUUGCAGGGUAUAGACCCGAAACCCGGUGAUCUAGCCAUGGGCAGGUUGAAGGUUGGGUAACACUAACUGGAGGACCGAACCGACUAAUGUUGAAAAAUUAGCGGAUGACUUGUGGCUGGGGGUGAAAGGCCAAUCAAACCGGGAGAUAGCUGGUUCUCCCCGAAAGCUAUUUAGGUAGCGCCUCGUGAAUUCAUCUUCGGGGGUAGAGCACUGUUUCGGCUAGGGGGUCAUCCCGACUUACCAACCCGAUGCAAACUGCGAAUACCGAAGAAUGUUAUCACGGGAGACACACGGCGGGUGCUAACGUCCGUCGUGAAGAGGGAAACAACCCAGACCGCCAGCUAAGGUCCCAAAGUCAUGGUUAAGUGGGAAACGAUGUGGGAAGGCACAGACAGCCAGGAUGUUGGCUUAGAAGCAGCCAUCAUUUAAAGAAAGCGUAAUAGCUCACUGGUCGAGUCGGCCUGCGCGGAAGAUGUAACGGGGCUAAACCAUGCACCGAAGCUGCGGCAGCGACACUAUGUGUUGUUGGGUAGGGGAGCGUUCUGUAAGCCUGCGAAGGUGUGCUGUGAGGCAUGCUGGAGGUAUCAGAAGUGCGAAUGCUGACAUAAGUAACGAUAAAGCGGGUGAAAAGCCCGCUCGCCGGAAGACCAAGGGUUCCUGUCCAACGUUAAUCGGGGCAGGGUGAGUCGACCCCUAAGGCGAGGCCGAAAGGCGUAGUCGAUGGGAAACAGGUUAAUAUUCCUGUACUUGGUGUUACUGCGAAGGGGGGACGGAGAAGGCUAUGUUAGCCGGGCGACGGUUGUCCCGGUUUAAGCAUGUAGGCUGGUUGUCCAGGCAAAUCCGGAUAAUCAAGGCUGAGGUGUGAUGACGAGGCACUACGGUGCUGAAGUAACAAAUGCCCUGCUUCCAGGAAAAGCCUCUAAGCAUCAGGUAACAUUAAAUCGUACCCCAAACCGACACAGGUGGUCAGGUAGAGAAUACCAAGGCGCUUGAGAGAACUCGGGUGAAGGAACUAGGCAAAAUGGUGCCGUAACUUCGGGAGAAGGCACGCUGGUGUGUAGGUGAAGUCCCUGCGGAUGGAGCUGAGACCAGUCGAAGAUACCAGCUGGCUGCAACUGUUUAUUAAAAACACAGCACUGUGCAAACACGAAAGUGGACGUAUACGGUGUGACGCCUGCCCGGUGCCGGAAGGUUAAUUGAUGGGGUUAUCCGUAAGGAGAAGCUCUUGAUCGAAGCCCCGGUAAACGGCGGCCGUAACUAUAACGGUCCUAAGGUAGCGAAAUUCCUUGUCGGGUAAGUUCCGACCUGCACGAAUGGCGUAAUGAUGGCCAGGCUGUCUCCACCCGAGACUCAGUGAAAUUGAACUCGCUGUGAAGAUGCAGUGUACCCGCGGCAAGACGGAAAGACCCCGUGAACCUUUACUAUAGCUUGACACUGAACAUUGAGCCUUGAUGUGUAGGAUAGGUGGGAGGCUUUGAAGCGUGGACGCCAGUCUGCGUGGAGCCAACCUUGAAAUACCACCCUUUAAUGUUUGAUGUUCUAACGUUGGCCCCUUACCGGGGUUGCGGACAGUGUCUGGUGGGUAGUUUGACUGGGGCGGUCUCCUCCCAAAGCGUAACGGAGGAGCACGAAGGUUAGCUAAUCCUGGUCGGACAUCAGGAGGUUAGUGCAAUGGCAUAAGCUAGCUUGACUGCGAGCGUGACGGCGCGAGCAGGUGCGAAAGCAGGUCAUAGUGAUCCGGUGGUUCUGAAUGGAAGGGCCAUCGCUCAACGGAUAAAAGGUACUCCGGGGAUAACAGGCUGAUACCGCCCAAGAGUUCAUAUCGACGGCGGUGUUUGGCACCUCGAUGUCGGCUCAUCACAUCCUGGGGCUGAAGUAGGUCCCAAGGGUAUGGCUGUUCGCCAUUUAAAGUGGUACGCGAGCUGGGUUUAGAACGUCGUGAGACAGUUCGGUCCCUAUCUGCCGUGGGCGCUGGAGAAUUGAGGGGGGCUGCUCCUAGUACGAGAGGACCGGAGUGGACGCAUCACUGGUGUUCGGGUUGUCAUGCCAAUGGCACUGCCCGGUAGCUAAAUGCGGAAGAGAUAAGUGCUGAAAGCAUCUAAGCACGAAACUUGCCCCGAGAUGAGUUCUCCCUGAGACUUUAAGUCUCCUGAAGGAACGUUAAAGACGAUGACGUUGAUAGGCCGGGUGUGUAAGCGCAGCGAUGCGUUGAGCUAACCGGUACUAAUGAACCGUGAGGCUUAACCUUACAACGCCGAAG